This 153-nucleotide ribosomal RNA is filed under the name uncultured fungus. RNAcentral describes it as "5.8S ribosomal RNA". It matches the Rfam family "5.8S ribosomal RNA". Rfam says of the family: 5.8S ribosomal RNA (5.8S rRNA) is a component of the large subunit of the eukaryotic ribosome. Lineage: Eukaryota; Fungi. The record is from RNAcentral.
AACUUUUGGCAACGGAUCUCUUGGCUCUCGCAACGAUGAAGAACGCAGCGAAAUGCGAUAAGUAGUGUGAAUUGCAGAAUUCAGUGAAUCAUCGAAUCUUUGAACGCAUAUUGCGCUUCCUGGUAUUCCGGGGAGCAUGCUCGUUUCAGAAUC